RNAcentral lists this ribosomal RNA (468 nucleotides) under uncultured bacterium. RNAcentral's name for it is "partial 16S ribosomal RNA". It matches the Rfam family "Bacterial small subunit ribosomal RNA", at positions 28 to 507 of the family's 1533-position model. The record is from RNAcentral.
GACGAACGCUGGCGGCGUGCUUAACACAUGCAAGUCGAACGGAAAGGCCCUGCUUUUGUGGGGUGCUCGAGUGGCGAACGGGUGAGUAACACGUGAGUAACCUGCCCUUGACUUUGGGAUAACUUCAGGAAACUGGGGCUAAUACCGGAUAGGAGCUCCUGCUGCAUGGUGGGGGUUGGAAAGUUUCGGCGGUUGGGGAUGGACUCGCGGCUUAUCAGCUUGUUGGUGGGGUAGUGGCUUACCAAGGCUUUGACGGGUAGCCGGCCUGAGAGGGUGACCGGCCCCAUUGGGACUGAGAUACGGCCCAGACUCCUACGGGAGGCAGCAGUGGGGAAUAUUACACAAUGGGCGGGAGCCUGAUGCAGCAACGCCGCGUGCGGGAUGACGGCCUUCGGGUUGUAAACCGCUUUCGCCUGUGACGAAGCGUGAGUGACGGUAAUGGGUAAAGAAGCACCGGCUAACUACGUG